UGCAUCGGGUCCUACUUCUUU
Molecule: non-coding RNA, 21 nt
Filed under: Arabidopsis thaliana (thale cress)
Lineage: Eukaryota; Viridiplantae; Streptophyta; Magnoliopsida; Brassicales; Brassicaceae
Source: RNAcentral